RNAcentral lists this ribosomal RNA (590 nucleotides) under uncultured archaeon. RNAcentral's name for it is "bacterial SSU rRNA". It matches the Rfam family "Archaeal small subunit ribosomal RNA", at positions 102 to 692 of the family's 1478-position model. The record is from RNAcentral.
GGAUAACCUACCCUUAGGACCGGGAUAACCUUGGGAAACUGAGGAUAAUACCGGAUAGGCAAUUAUUCCUGGAAUGGUUUUUUGUUUAAAUGUUUUUUCGCCUAAGGAUGGGUCUGCGGCCGAUUAGGUAGUUGGUUAGGUAACGGCUUACCAAGCCAUUGAUCGGUACGGGUUGUGAGAGCAAGAGCCCGGAGAUGGAACCUGAGACAAGGUUCCAGGCCCUACGGGGUGCAGCAGGCGCGAAACCUCCGCAAUGUGAGAAAUCGCGACGGGGGGAUCCCAAGUGCCAUUCUUAACGGGAUGGCUUUUCAUUAGUGUAAAGAGCUUUUGGAAUAAGGGCUGGGCAAGACCGGUGCCAGCCGCUGCGGUAACACCGGCAGCUCUAGUGGUAGCAGUUUCUAUUGGGCCUAAAGCGUCCGUAGCCGGUUUAAUAAGUCUCUGGUGAAAUCCUGUAGCUUAACUGUGGGAAUUGCUGGAGAUACUAUUAGACUUGAGACCGGGAGAGGUUAGAGGUACUCCCAGGGUAGAGGUGAAAUUCUGUAAUCCUGGGAGGACCGCCUGUUGCGAAGGCGUCUAACUGGAACGGUUCU